Molecule: ribosomal RNA, 587 nt
Filed under: uncultured bacterium
Lineage: Bacteria
Description: bacterial SSU rRNA
Rfam family: Bacterial small subunit ribosomal RNA
Source: RNAcentral
CCUACGGGAGGCAGCAGUGGGGAAUUUUGGACAAUGGGCGCAAGCCUGGUCCAGCAAUGCCGCGUGAGUGAAGAAGGCCUUCGGGUUGUAAAGCUCUUUUGUCAGGGAAGAAACGGUGGGGGCUAAUAUCUCCUACUAAUGACGGUACCUGAAGAAUAAGCACCGGCUAACUACGUGCCAGCAGCCGCGGUAAUACGUAGGGUGCAAGCGUUAAUCGGAAUUACUGGGCGUAAAGCGUGCGCAGGCGGUUUUGUAAGUCUGUCGUGAAAGCCCCGGGCUCAACCUGGGAAUUGCGAUGGAGACUGCAAGGCUUGAAUCUGGCAGAGGGGGGUAGAAUUCCACGUGUAGCAGUGAAAUGCGUAGAGAUGUGGAGGAACACCGAUGGCGAAGGCAGCCCCCUGGGUCAAGAUUGACGCUCAUGCACGAAAGCGUGGGGAGCAAACAGGAUUAGAUACCCUGGUAGUCCACGCCCUAAACGAUGUCUACUAGUUGUCGGGUUUUAAUUAACUUGGUAACGCAGCUAACGCGUGAAGUAGACCGCCUGGGGAGUACGGUCGCAAGAAUUAAAACUCAAAUUGAAUUGACGG